This is a long non-coding RNA of Xenia sp. Carnegie-2017, 306 nucleotides long. RefSeq lists it as uncharacterized. The transcript has 3 exons. NCBI's taxonomy places the organism in Eukaryota, Metazoa, Cnidaria, Anthozoa, Malacalcyonacea, Xeniidae. The record is from RefSeq and is a predicted model, not a curated record.
ACCUGGUUUAAAGGCAGAAAGUCAAAGCGACCAUUUCAGCACCUUGCCCUCUGCAAAGUUAUAACAAAAGCCAGCCUCAGAGCUCAUAAAGGAUGCAGCGAGGCCAACGUUGAAGACAAAUUGCCGAAUUUUUAAAAUAUGCUCCAGGCAAGCAAGGUGGUUCAGAUUUAAGGUGCAAAAUGGCAACUUAUUGGAAUCGGCUUAAUUAGCAUUUUUGUAAAUAUGUAUAUUAAAACACUCACAGCAAAAUAGAUGAAUUAAAAGUUGAUUAUAAGGAAAUUAAACUUUAGUUCGUAUCAUUUGAAA